RNAcentral lists this transfer-messenger RNA (366 nucleotides) under Chloroflexota bacterium. It matches the Rfam family "transfer-messenger RNA". From Rfam's summary of the family: Bacterial tmRNA, also known as 10Sa RNA or SsrA, is named for its dual tRNA and mRNA-like properties. Its role is to liberate the mRNA from a stalled ribosome. The record is from RNAcentral. Lineage: Bacteria; Bacillati; Chloroflexota.
GGGGAUGACUGGCUUCGACAGGGGAGGACGUCGUAGGUUGCAAGCCGAGCCGCCCAGUCUCGUUAAAGGGGCAACGGCAUUAACUGCCAACACAAACAAACUGGCUCAGCGUGGUAACAUGCUGGCCAUGGCUGCCUAACUAGUAGCCCGUUCGCCCACUCUCAGCCCGAUGGAGUGGGGUCGAGCGUCAACAGUCGGGCUGCUCCCGGUGGACCGCCUGCUAGGCCGGGUUAAGAUAAGCGGGCCGGCUCAAAGGUUGCUUUGUACGUUGUGUGACCGCGAGCGACAUUAAACAACGAACUAAGCUUGUAGUAAAUCUGCGGCUAACUUUUCUGGACGGGGGUUCGACUCCCCCCAUCUCCACCA